UACAGAGGGCCCAAGCGUUGUUCGGAUUCACUGGGCGUAAAGGGUGCGCAGGUGGUCGGGUAAGUCUGACGUGAAAUCCCGCAGCUUAACUGCGGAAUGGCAUUGGAUACUAUCCGGCUAGAGGGUUGGAGGGGGGACUGGAAUUCUCGGUGUAGCAGUGAAAUGCGUAGAUAUCGAGAGGAACGCCAGUGGCGAAGGCGAGUCCCUGGACAACUCCUGACGCUGAGGCACGAAAGCUAGGGGAGCAAACGGG
RNAcentral lists this ribosomal RNA (253 nucleotides) under uncultured bacterium. RNAcentral describes it as "partial 16S ribosomal RNA". It matches the Rfam family "Bacterial small subunit ribosomal RNA", at positions 524 to 776 of the family's 1533-position model. The record is from RNAcentral.